AACGAACGCUGGCGGCAGGCUUAACACAUGCAAGUCGAACGCCCCGCAAGGGGAGUGGCAGACGGGUGAGUAACGCGUGGGAACAUACCCUUUCCUGCGGAAUAGCUCCGGGAAACUGGAAUUAAUACCGCAUACGCCCUACGGGGGAAAGAUUUAUCGGGGAAGGAUUGGCCCGCGUUGGAUUAGCUAGUUGGUGGGGUAAAGGCCUACCAAGGCGACGAUCCAUAGCUGGUCUGAGAGGAUGAUCAGCCACAUUGGGACUGAGACACGGCCCAAACUCCUACGGGAGGCAGCAGUGGGGAAUAUUGGACAAUGGGGGCAAGCCUGAUCCAGCCAUGCCGCGUGAGUGAUGAAGGCCUUAGGGUUGUAAAGCUCUUUCACCGAUGAAGAUAAUGACGGUAGUCGGAGAAGAAGCCCCGGCUAACUUCGUG
This 431-nucleotide ribosomal RNA is filed under the name uncultured bacterium. RNAcentral describes it as "partial 16S ribosomal RNA". It matches the Rfam family "Bacterial small subunit ribosomal RNA", at positions 29 to 507 of the family's 1533-position model. The record is from RNAcentral.